This 2310-nucleotide long non-coding RNA is filed under the name Marmota monax (woodchuck). The record is from RNAcentral. Lineage: Eukaryota; Metazoa; Chordata; Mammalia; Rodentia; Sciuridae.
CCUCACCCCUGCCCGGCUUCCUGUGCCUUUCUGCCCGGAGGCUGACACUGUCCUGCAGAGUGUGUGGGUGGGGUAGCUGAGGCAGGCGUGGCCAAGGCUGGACUAGCCAUCACUUCCUGCUCGGCACUCCUUAUGCCAGGAUCCUGCAUCUGUUAGUGUUUCUCCUUUAAAAAUAUCCUCAUUAGGAAGUGCAGCCUUGACCAAUAUAUAAAAUCCUCUUUGCCAAGUGAAACACUUUAAAAUCCCAGUUUACUCCUUUAUCAAUAACUAAAUCCUUGAAGUAUAUAAAUGUGUGGUUUAUUUUAGGUCUGACUUAAAAAUAGCACAGAGUUGUAUUUUGAUUUUAGACUCAAUCUGAAAUUUUCCCUGUCACAGAAUCAAUGGUAAUUAACCUGUUGACCAUUAAGAGAAUUCAUCUGAGAGAGACUUUAAAUGUGAUGGAUAAAACACCCCAUGGAAUAGAAGGGACCCGGACCCAACACACAGGGCCAAAUGGCUUCAGCAGGCUGCACGUCGGAGCCUGGUGGCCUCGUUUUGACUCAAGGACCCUAGGAGGCUGGAUUCUGAGAUCCUGGUUGAAGAGUCACCACGCCCACUGCCCCGCGGCAACCCGUGAGCUCGGGGGCCACAGCAAGGUUCAAGCUGGGACUGAAGUGAGAGUUCACAGAUGUGACCCACGGACACCUGAAGUGCACAGAUGCUACUUGCUGAAGUGGGUGGAGAGCCACCCCUCCCUCUACAGCCCUGCAGCGUGCCUGCCUCCCUGUAGGCCCAGAGCAGGCCCUUGUUCAAAGACGGUGGCUGGGGGACGGGAAGACCCAGGAGUGCAGAGUCACAGCCCCUGCGGGUCCUCAGAGAGUCAUCUGUUCCUGCAGCAGAGCCACGUCCAGAGCCAGCAGCACCCUGACCGCAGCCUCGCCUGGCGACCUGCACGUUCCAGGGGAGGAGAUGGCAGAUGAAUCGAGGAAUCGUGGUCCAUCCAGCCUGACAGGUUGAGGGGCCACAGCCGGCAGGUGGACUCUUGGUCAGGAGUAGCUUCCUAAGACUGAAGGGUCUCCAUGCGAGCUGGGGAGGCCCAUCCCCAGGCUCUCGAUGGGGAGUGUCCUGGGGCCUCUGGUUAAUUCCUGCAGCUCUCGGGCGGAGAGUUGCCCUCCCAGAUGAGCUGGGGUCACCGGUUCUUCCACUGCCUGUAUUUUAAACUACGAAUCUCCCUCCAGGGGUUGCUUUGGUCGCCAUCCACAAAUUCCCAUGAUCUGUGCUUUUCUUCUUCAGUGCAAGCUGCUUUGAAUUUUGCCCUGUCACGUCUUUGAUGGAUUUAGACAUGUAUUACUUGAUUUGCAGACACUUGGUGUUUAGUUACCUCUUUGUUCUUAAUUUCUGGUUUAACUCCUUAUGGUUAGAUUUUAUUCCCUUCAAUUUAUAGGGUUUGCUUUGUGGCCCUACAAGUGGCCCACUUUGGUGACUGUGUGUAACUUGAAACGUGCACACUCUGCAGCCAGCUGUGCCCUGUGUGUCGGCCAUUGCUGUUCAGAUGCUCUAAAUGACAGAUGCACUGGCUGUCUCUGGCCACCCACUUCUGUCAUUCACAGAGCCUUGGGUACUCCUUUUAGUUCUCUCAUUUUGCUGCGGGCAUCUGGAGGUUCUGAAUCCUGUUUUCCUCAUGAGGUGACCAUUUACCAUGGAGAAAGGGACAGAGAUGUCAGUUUUCAGAGGAGACGCCAAGCUGCAGUGGAAGGUGCCAGUCAUUCAUGUUGCGAUGUCCCCACCUGUGUGGGGAUGGCUGCUCAUCGGAGCGGGUCAUCUGGUCAGAGGCGGCCUCCUAGAUUCCUUGCUUACAGUCCUGGCUAGUGAGUAAUUGGAUCGUGUGAUUUGUGCUGGUUAUUAAUGGUCCACUUGGCAGAGCUAAUUGCUGCAAGGAAUGCACAGCGUGGGAUUCCAGGUUGCGCCCUCCAAGGAGCGGCUCCCUGGAGACGGCUCCCAGGCCGUCAGGGCAGCUAACCAGUGCUUCCUUCACGGUUACCGCUCUCACAGCUCUGACUGCAAGAGUGCAGCUCUCUACCUGCCUGACAGUGCUUUGGGGAUAGUGGUGGCUCAGGGGACAAACACCUGGAAGUCACCUCUGUCCCGGUCUGAAUGCUAUAUUCUAAAUUGCAAUUUAAAAAUCAUUUAUGUUAUCUUUAGUUUUUUGAUAUUGAUAUUAUAAACGACAUCUCAAUGACCAUUUUAUACAUAAAGCAUAUAUAUAACUUUGAAUAUUGAAUUAGGGGUUUCCUAAAAAUGUCAUUACUGGGUUAAAUGGAAGGAAGUUUU